UACGUAGGUGGCAAGCGUUGUCCGGAUUUAUUGGGUUUAAAGGGUGCGUAGGUGGCUUUUUAAGUCAUGGGUGAAAGCCCGCAGCUCAACUGUGGAAUUGCCUGUGAUACUGAGGAGCUUGAGUGCGGUUGAGGCAGCUGGAAUUGGUGGUGUAGCGGUGAAAUGCAUAGAUACCACCGGGAACACCGAUUGCGAAGGCAGGUUGCUAAGCCGUAACUGACACUGAGGCACGAAAGCGUGGGGAGCAAACAGG
RNAcentral lists this ribosomal RNA (253 nucleotides) under uncultured bacterium. RNAcentral's name for it is "partial 16S ribosomal RNA". It matches the Rfam family "Bacterial small subunit ribosomal RNA", at positions 524 to 776 of the family's 1533-position model. The record is from RNAcentral.